UGAAAAAACCCAAUUAAGCUCAACAGUAGGGGGUUAAAUUUUUUGCUAAAAUCUAUUGAAUUUACAAAAACCCUAUUGUUGUCAAAACAGGGGGUGAAAAACCCAAUUACCCAAAAAAUUAUCUAUAGCCCUGUGCAAAGGCCUUUAAAAUUCGGUUCAAGCGCUGAAAGGGUUAAGAUAAUCUGUUGAGGGUAUUUCAUAAAGGGUUUUAAAAGCUUCAAAUGUAUAAAAGGUUUUUGACCUAAAGUCGUAUAUGUGUUCUAAGAAUUUUAUACCCUUACCAGUUUAGGUAGAAGAAGGUAUGUUGGUAAUUUUUUUUCUAUCCUUGAGUUAUUCCAUAUAAUCGUUUUAUUUACAUGUCCUCCUUUUUCUUCGAUUUAAUCUUGUUCCAAGAGAUAAUGACAUCUCUGAGGAAUAUAUUUUUAAAAUUGGAAACAAUAUGUUUUUCAUUAAGUGCACAUUCAAAUACAAGAUUUCCACCAUAUUUAUUAAGUUCAUUCUGAUAGAAAAUUUUCCACUGCCCUUUAUUGUUUACGUCUGUUAAUCUUUUGACCCAACUGGCCUUAUUAGCAUGUAUUAGAGUAGUAAUAUCGGUGAGUUUCAGCCCUCCUUGUUCUAUUGGUUUAACUAGGGUUGUUCUUUUUUAUUUUUAUGUCCCCCACUAUAGAAGUGGGGGACAUAUUGUUUUUGCCCUGUCUGUUGGUUUGUUGGUUGGUCUGUUGGUUUGCGCCAACUUUAACAUUUGCAAUAACUUUUGCAAUAUUGAAGAUAGCAACUUGAUAUUUGGCAUGCAUAUGUAUCUCAUGGAGCUGCACAUUUUGAGUGGUGAAAGGUCAAGGUAAAGGUCAUCCUUCAAGGUCAAAGGUCAAAUAUAUGGGUCAAAAUCGCUCAUUUAAUGUACACUUUUGCAAUAUUUCAAUAUUCAAGAUAGCAACUUGAUAUUUGGCAUGCAUGUGUAUCUCAUGGAGCUGCACAUUUUGCGUGGUGAAAGGUCAAGGUCAUCCUUCAAGGUCAGAGGUCAAAUAUAUGUGGCCGAAAUCGCUUAUUUUAUGAGUACUUUUGCAAUAUUGAACAUAGCAACUUGAUAUUUGGCAUGCAUGUGUAUCUCAUGGAGCUGCACAUUUUGAGUGGUGAAAGGUCAAGGUCAUCCUUCAAGGUCAAAGGUCAAAGAAACAAAUCCAAGGGAAGUAACAAGCUUUAAAUGGAGAUAAUUUCUAUUUAUCAUUUGGCAGGUACAGAUCAUUUUUACAAGGGAAGUUAUAUUUUUUAUUCUAUCCCUUUACAAAAUAUUACUUCCCUUGUAAAAAUUACCUGUACCUGCCAAAUGAUAAAAAACAUUAAAUAAAUUAAAGCGGCGCAGUAGGGGGCAUAGUGUUUCUGACAAACACAUCUCUUGUUUCUUAGUAGCUUUGAAUUUUUUUUAAAUUUUGUGUUUAGAUCCACUUUACUUCUACAGUAUCAAGGAUAUUGCUUUCAAACUUCAAAUACUUUCAUGCUAUCAUGAGGGUACUGUACCUGUAAAUUUGAUUUUGACCUUGACCUUUGAAUGACCUUGACUCUCAAGGUCAAAUUAAUAAAUUUUGCUUAAAUUGCCUUAACUUCUUUAAUUAGGAUCAGAUUUGAUUCCAUCGUCUGAUACCCAUGUUGGACCCAUUCCGCUCCUCUCCAUUUAUCGACAGUGGGACAUUACGAACUCUUCACCGUUUUAGGGUGUCUAAUCCAGUAAUUUCAUUGGAUCCCUCACGAUUUCAUGAGGAUUCUUUACUAAUCAUACAACUCGUUCUAUAGAGACUUUGGUUUUGUUGUUAAAAUACCGUCGUCCGUAGAAAUGGAAUUUCGUCGUGCAUGUGAAUACUUUAAAAUUGACAAUUUAGACGACUUUCCGAGUAUAAUUUUUCCCUUUUAUAAUGCUACAACAAAACAAACAUUUAUUUUCUAUGGCGGCCGCCAUUAUACAGGGGAAGCAUUCACACUUCCAAAGCGAAGAGUAUUGUUUUUGUAACCUGCGAUUUCAUUGGUCUUCUGAAAGGUUACAGUUAAGGUCAAAACAGCGUGUAUUGCUUAUAUUGUCCCACGGCUAAUGCUGGAGAGUAACAGAAUGAAUUAGUAGUGGGUAUCCGACGAUGAUUUGAUUCAUACUUUGACAAACCAACACUUACCUGACAUCCCACAAUGGACUCCACCCAAACCAUCCCCCAAGCCCCACCCAAGAAUUCCCCCUCCCCCUUCCAAAUUUUUUUUCUUUUCUUUUUAUGCCCCCUUUCAAAGAAAAGGGGUAUAUAGUUUUCGCACUGUCCGUCAAUCUGUCUGUCAGUCUGUCACACUUUUCGUGUCCGCUCUCUAAUUCAAAUUAGAUCUUUACCAAACUUGGUCAGAAGUUGGAUCUAGACAAUAUCUAGGUCAAGUUCGAAUAUGGGUCAUGCCGGGUCAAAAACUAGGUCACGGGGUCACUUAGUGCAUUUCAGGGAUUUAGCAUGGUGUCUGCUCUCUAAUUGAAGUAGUUUUCAUCUGAUCUUUACCAAAUUUGGUCAGAAGUUGUAUCAAGACAAUAUCUAGGUCAAGUUCGAAUAUGGGUCAUGCCCGGUCAAAAACUAGGUCACGGGGUCACUUAGUGCAUUUCAAGGAUUUAGCAUGGUGUCCGGUCUUUAGUUUAUGUGGCUUUCUGAUUUAUUUUGAUAUUCUAAGACAUUUUAAUGCCCCCAAGGAGGGCAUAUAGUGAUCGGACUGUCCGUCCGUCUGUCCGUCACACUUUGUGUUUAGAUUUCGAAAAUGCUCAUAACUUCUAUGUCGCUCAGAUAGCAAUUUCAUAUUUGGCAUGCAUGUGUAUAUGGACAAAGCCUUUCCAUACGCAUACACAAAUUUUUACCCCUUGACCUUGAACUUAGGGUCCGCGUUUAGGUUUCGAAAUAUGCGUUUAGGUUUCGAAAAAAGCUCAUAACUUCUACCAAGUGUUUAUUGGGGGCAUAAGUCAUCCUAUGGUGACAGCUCUUGUUUUUUCUAUUUUUUUGAAAGAUCAUCUAAUAAAUGACCACACACCCACACUAUACCCUCCUCUCCAUCCCCCAAGCCCUAUUGCAGGCUAUUGCUAUUAAACUUGAAAUAAAAUCUUAUUAGUUUGUUUUAUGUCUUUACAAAUGUUCAAUAGAUUGUGGAAAAUAUACCUGAACUCAGAAUUGUCUAUAAUGUACCACUUCUUUAAAACAUAAACAAUCAGUAUGUUUCAAUUAUGGUCCUCUUCCAAGUAGAAUAUGACUAUAUUACCUUGACUUUAUUGAAUAUGAACAAUUUCCUCAUGAUGGCUUACGUUAUACUGUCAAGCACUCGAAUAGUCGAGCGCGCUGUCUUCUGACAGCUCUUGUUUGAAAAACAUGGUUGAAAAGAAGUAGGGUAGAGGCGCAUUUUUUCAUUUAAUGGCUAUGAUUAAAUUGUGUUAUAUAAUUUCAUAUUAUUUGCCAACUUGUUCCAGGGUUGUUUUUUUUCUCAAACGAGUUCGUGUCCGUGGAGCACUUUUCCUUGCAUGACAAUACGACAAGUAUGUUAAUACAAUUUCGUCACAAUGUCGACCCAAUCUUUAUGGAACUUGCUCAAACAUUUUUUUCUAAUGAUAUCUAAGCCUAGUUCAAAAAUGGUUCCCGUUGGCGUUCCAUCAGUCACCAAAUAAGUAGUUUGAGAAAGCAAGUCUUAUUAAUUUGUAUUAUUACUUUAGACCUAGAAAAUGUUUCUACUCUGCCUACAGAAAACUUAGAAUGUGAACAAGCCCAGUCUAUAACAUACCAGUACAGGACUUGAUUGGUUGAUCUAAGAGCGGUAUUUAUCCUUUUAAAAAACAUGGGUCUAAGUGGGCGGAACAUUUUCUUUAUAUGUCUAGAGUGAACCUUGUUAAUACUAUGUAUAUUUGUCGUCCACUCUUGUUUAGAAUAAUUGUUUUUAUUAACCAGGUUUUCCGAAGGAAAAAACUGGUAAUUAGAUUGGCGAAUGCGGGCAGGCUGGCGAUCUUUACUAAACUUGGUCAGAAGUUGUAUCUAGACAAUAUCUAGGUCAAGUUCGAAUAUGGGUCAUGCCGGGUUAAAAACUAGGUCACGGGGUCACUUAGUGCGUUUUAAACAUUGAGCAUGUUGUCCGCUCUCUAAUUCAAAUAGUUUUCAUCCGAUCUUUACGAAACUUGGUCAGAAGUUGUAUUUAGACAAUAUCUAGGUUAAGUUUGAAUAUGGGUCAGAAACUAGGUCAGGGGGUCGAAAAACAGAUUGAUUUUGAAACAAGGGGGGUAAUUGUGAUGAACAAUCAGUAGCAUUGCACAUUUUGAGUUGCAGUUGUCUCCUUUUAUCAGACUUUUUUUUAUUGAAAACCUGCUUUUGUGACAAUUUUGUCCCUUGUUUGUCUCAUAAAUUAAUGUAUGUCUGAUAAACAUGUAUUGGAAAGAAGUAGCAGUCAGCCAUUUAUUUUGGAAUCGUUACUUUUUUGUACAAUGUAUAUAUUAAUGUUAAAGAACAGUGAAGCAUGUCUGAUCGAUUUAAGCAAAAUAUAUUAACAUGAUACUCAAGAAAUAUUUUUUUCUUCAUAUAUAUGUAUAUUCAAUUUUGUCUUUUGUUGUGUUUCCUUAUGAAGGGCUUAUUACAUUCUAUUUGAAUGCUA
This is a long non-coding RNA of Dreissena polymorpha, 4632 nucleotides long. RefSeq lists it as uncharacterized. The record is from RefSeq and is a predicted model, not a curated record. The transcript is spliced from 2 exons. Lineage: Eukaryota; Metazoa; Mollusca; Bivalvia; Myida; Dreissenidae.